Molecule: ribosomal RNA, 333 nt
Filed under: uncultured eukaryote
Lineage: Eukaryota
Description: partial 18S ribosomal RNA
Rfam family: Eukaryotic small subunit ribosomal RNA
Source: RNAcentral
CCCUUAGAUGUUCUGGGCUGCACGCGCGCUACACUGAUGCGUUCAACGAGUUUAUAACCUUGCCCGAUAGGGUUGGGUAAUCUUUUGAAAACGCAUCGUGAUGGGGAUAGAUUAUUGUAAUUAUUAAUCUUCAACGAGGAAUUCCUAGUAAGCGCGAAUCAUCAGUUCGUGCUGAUUACGUCCCUGCCCUUUGUACACACCGCCCGUCGCUACUACCGAUUGAACGGUUUAGUGAGGGCCUCGGAUUGGUCUCGGCCCGCUCUUUACCGGGCGGCGCCGUUGGUCGAGAAGACGCUCGAACUUGAUCGUUUAGAGGAAGUAAAAGUCGUAACA